This 19-nucleotide small nuclear RNA is filed under the name Arabidopsis thaliana (thale cress). RNAcentral describes it as "snRNA_11121". The record is from RNAcentral. Lineage: Eukaryota; Viridiplantae; Streptophyta; Magnoliopsida; Brassicales; Brassicaceae.
UUCCUCAUCUCGUAGCACA